RNAcentral lists this ribosomal RNA (497 nucleotides) under uncultured bacterium. RNAcentral describes it as "partial 16S ribosomal RNA". It matches the Rfam family "Bacterial small subunit ribosomal RNA", at positions 28 to 507 of the family's 1533-position model. The record is from RNAcentral.
GAUGAACGCUGGCGGCGUGCCUAAUACAUGCAAGUCGAGCGAACAGACGAGGAGCUUGCUCCUCUGACGUUAGCGGCGGACGGGUGAGUAACACGUGGAUAACCUACCUAUAAGACUGGGAUAACUUCGGGAAACCGGAGCUAAUACCGGAUAAUAUAUUGAACCGCAUGGUUCAAUAGUGAAAGACGGUUUUGCUGUCACUUAUAGAUGGAUCCGCGCCGCAUUAGCUAGUUGGUAAGGUAACGGCUUACCAAGGCAACGAUGCGUAGCCGACCUGAGAGGGAGAUCGGCCACACUGGAACUGAGACACGGUCCAGACUCCUACGGGGGGCAGCAGUAGGGAAUCUUCCGCAAUGGGCGAAAGCCUGACGGAGCAACGCCGCGUGAGUGAUGAAGGUCUUCGGAUCGUAAAACUCUGUUAUUAGGGAAGAACAAAUGUGUAAGUAACUAUGCACGUCUUGACGGUACCUAAUCAGAAAGCCACGGCUAACUACGUG